This 445-nucleotide ribosomal RNA is filed under the name uncultured bacterium. RNAcentral describes it as "bacterial SSU rRNA". It matches the Rfam family "Bacterial small subunit ribosomal RNA", at positions 354 to 796 of the family's 1533-position model. The record is from RNAcentral.
GUGAGGAAUAUUGGUCAAUGGGCGGAAGCCUGAACCAGCCAAGUAGCGUGCAGGAUGACGGCCCUACGGGUUGUAAACUGCUUUUAUGCGGGGAUAAAGCGCGGGUCGUGACCCGUUUUGCAGGUACCGCAUGAAUAAGGACCGGCUAAUUCCGUGCCAGCAGCCGCGGUAAUACGGAAGGUCCGGGCGUUAUCCGGAUUUAUUGGGUUUAAAGGGAGCGUAGGCCGCCGUUCAAGCGUGCCGUGAAAUGCGGUUGCUCAACAUCCGCACUGCGGCGCGAACUGUCCGGCUUGAGUCAACUGUAAGCAGGCGGAAUUCGUGGUGUAGCGGUGAAAUGCUUAGAUAUCACGAGGAACCCCGAUUGCGAAGGCAGCUUGCUGUCGUUGGACUGACGCUGAAGCUCGAAGGUGCGGGUAUCGAACAGGAUUAGAUACCCUAGUAGUCC